RNAcentral lists this ribosomal RNA (604 nucleotides) under Cautires sp. UPOL A00105. Its description in RNAcentral is "partial 16S ribosomal RNA". It matches the Rfam family "Bacterial large subunit ribosomal RNA", at positions 1816 to 2714 of the family's 2925-position model. The record is from RNAcentral. Lineage: Eukaryota; Metazoa; Arthropoda; Insecta; Coleoptera; Lycidae.
CAUGUCCUUUAGAUAAUAAUUUAAGGUCUGAUCUGCUCAAUGAAUAAUAAAUAGCCGCAGUAUUUUGACUGUGCGAAGGUAGCAUAAUAAAUAGUUUCUUAAUUAGAAUCUGGAAUGAAAGAUUUGACAAGAAAAUUACUGUCUCUUUUUUAGGUUUAUUGAACUUAAUUUUUAAGUGAAAAAGCUUAAAUUUUUGUAAAAGACGAGAAGACCCUAUAGAGUUUAAUAUUCUUUUAAUAUUAAUAUUUCGAAUUAUUUUUAUUAAAUGUUUAUUUAGUUGGGGUGAUUAUAAGAUUAAAUUAAUUCUUUAUUAAUUAGAAUUUUAAAUUUAAAAAUUUUAUAUAUAUUAUUAAUAAAAAUAAAAUAAAUUACCUUAGGGAUAACAGCGUAAUUUUUCUUUAAAGUUCUUAUUGUAAGGAAAGUUUGCGACCUCGAUGUUGGAUUAAAAUAAAUUUUUGGUGCAAUAACUUAAAAAUUAGGUCUGUUCGACCUUUAAAAUUUUACAUGAUCUGAGUUUAAACCGGUGUGAGCCAGGUUGGAUUCUAUCUUUAGAAAAGUUAAUAAAUUUUAGUACGAAAGGACCAGAUUUAUAUUAAAUUAAUUA